GCCUGGGUGGCUCAGUCGGUUGAGCGUCCGACUUCAGCUCAGGUCAUCAUCUCAUGGUCUGUGGGUUCAAGCCCCGCGUCGGGCU
Molecule: transfer RNA, 85 nt
Filed under: Felis catus (domestic cat)
Lineage: Eukaryota; Metazoa; Chordata; Mammalia; Carnivora; Felidae
Also listed under: 1 other name
Rfam family: tRNA
About the family: Transfer RNA (tRNA) molecules are approximately 80 nucleotides in length. Their secondary structure includes four short double-helical elements and three loops (D, anti-codon, and T loops). Further hydrogen bonds mediate the characteristic L-shaped molecular structure. tRNAs have two regions of fundamental functional importance: the anti-codon, which is responsible for specific mRNA codon recognition, and the 3' end, to which the tRNAs corresponding amino acid is attached (by aminoacyl-tRNA synthetases). tRNAs cope with the degeneracy of the genetic code in two manners: having more than one tRNA (with a specific anti-codon) for a particular amino acid; and 'wobble' base-pairing, i.e. permitting non-standard base-pairing at the 3rd anti-codon position.
Source: Rfam by way of RNAcentral